Rosa chinensis is the source of this 5884-nucleotide long non-coding RNA. RefSeq lists it as uncharacterized. The transcript has 8 exons. NCBI's taxonomy places the organism in Eukaryota, Viridiplantae, Streptophyta, Magnoliopsida, Rosales, Rosaceae. The record is from RefSeq and is a predicted model, not a curated record.
GCAAUAUACUCAGAAUCUUCGUAUACUUUAAAACAAUAAGCUUUUUUGGUGAUAGCCAAAGCCCAAAGGACUGAAAGAAGAAAAAUCAUCUCUAUAUGGUGGGUGUUAUCCAGAAAAAAAAAUUAAAGUAAAGAAAACCAAAACAGUCGAGGUUUUUUGGUUUCUAGAUCUGUUUUGUCUCUCCCCGAUCUCGAUCAUCUGGCUCUUCGAUCUGCUGGAAGAGAUGAUCAGUCCUCAUAGAUCGAAUGACUUCAAGUUCGUUUCGGAUUGAAUUGUCCUUGGUCCUUACCGCUACAAGACAGUACUGAUUCGGAGCGACUAAGUUGCAUGCAAUCUCAGCUCUCUCUCGAUCCUUCUUCCUCGCACCAAGUUCAAUUUCUUUACUUAAUUUCAAUUUAUUUCUAUUUGAUUCCCGAAAAAGUGUUGGUGUGCUUAGUCAAUCUGUUUGGAUCUUGGAAAAAUUUAAUAAUAAAAUCAAGUUUUGAAACUUAGAUUUUUAUUAUGGAUGAUUGUGUAGGGAUUCAAUUUUUUGUUCCAAUAUAUGUCCUUAUUUGUUUGUCAUAUUUUGUUCUUUCUCAUAACACCAUCGUUUGGUUCUCUCUGCUGAAACUUUGUAUUUUGUGUUUUGGUGCUGGUGUUCGACUACAUUAAUCUUAUGUGAUUAUAGUUCCUCUGGGCUUUUGAUAAAUAUUUCUGGACACCACAUUUCUCUACCUCCAAUCUAUUUCUCACAUGUUUUGCCUCUAACUAACUUUGAUAUAUCUAGUGAAUUGAAUUUCACUGAUGCCUUUUUUCCUCUAAUUACAGUUUAUGUUCCACCAAUGGUUGUAUCUGGCUAUUCCAAUGCAUCUUGCCUAUCCUCACAUGUCUAAUGGCAACACCUAUUUACUGGUGCCUGUCCUUACUGGAAAUCCCAUGGGGUUUGGAAGGUUUACUAAUCCAAUUGGUUAUGCAGUGAAUGCCCCUGGUGUAGUUGGAGCUGCCAUUGAGCUAGUUUUUGACUAGAAAUCAAAUGCAGAAUCACUAGGUCUAAGGCAAUUUCUUGAUUGUGGUGAACUUGAAAUUUGAUGGAGAGCUUAUAUAUUUGACAACCCAUCGGUAUACUUGGGCUCAUGGAAUUUUUUGGUUAUGUGAACAGAAUUAUAUUUCACCUCAUGGAGUGAAGGGUGGAGGUUAGAGAAGUACAAAAAUUAAAAAGCCAGCAUUGUUUGUUCUUUAGGUUUCUCAUAAAUGGUUACCAUCAGAUUUUAUUGAAUUUGUAGAUCUGACCUUUGUAUCAGUCUUAAAUUUUAUAUUCUUUACACCAAUUAAAUAGAGAAUUACUGACUAACUAGAUCUUUCCAGCUUUUGAGGCCUAUUGUUAACUAACUAAUAUCACUGUAUCAGGGUGAUGAGGUGAAUAUAAUUGUCAAAGUCAAAGGCUAAACUGCUCCAUGGAAAGCUCUUAGAAGGGAAAUACAAUCACAAGGAUAUCAUCUUGUCCUUGAUUCGUCAUCACUCUAUUUGAACUUUUUAAGGGGUUAUAAAUCUGCAAGAGCUUAUGAACGAGGAGACAAAAAAAUGUUGUUCACUCAAUAAGGAGAAAGCUAUGGACUUUGUAAACUGGACUUGCAGUUCAGUGACGGAAGGAGAGAGAUGAGAAGCAAUUUCUGGCUUCAUAUGAAAGAAGACAGUACACUUUGGAGUCUUCUAGUCUAGGAGGAUUUGUAUUUAUAUAAUAUUCAAAAUAAUUAAGUUUUCCAUAAUAUAUUUCAUUUUAAAUUAUCGAGUCACCAAUAGAAUUGGUGUGGUGCUAAUUAUAGUGAUGUAUUCAUCCACAUAUUCCACCAAUCACAGCAUUGGUGUGUUGAAUCAUUGUCACCAAUGCAUGAACAGUAUCCAUCAGUUGAGGCACCAAAAAAAUGAUAGUGAGCCCAUGAGUAUAUGUCACGCCAUCUAUAGCAACCCCUACAAAAAUGGUGACUGGGCCCGUGCCUAUUGCUUUUACACACCAUUGAUCGGUGGUCUGAACCCCAAUUCACACCAUUAUUAAUGGUGUCUAAAGCCCAAGUUUGUGGUAGUGAUACAAGCUAUAAUUGAUGAGGUCAUUUGCCUAUAAAUGUGGUUUUGAAUAUGAUCUGGGGUGGUUCCAUAUCAUUUUAUAUUUCUAUAAGUCGUUUUAUUCCUAUAGAGCUUAUUCUCAUUGAUUAUAAUUUAGUAUACAAAGUCUGAAGCUGUAGCUACAUUUGGUCAAAGAAUAAAUACUCUCUUUUGGAAGCCCAUGCCAAGACUAAACUCAUAAUUAAGUUUCAAAUACUCUCUCUUUUUAUAUACAAUUUAGUACUUGGAUUGCUAUUUGAACAAGUUAUGUUCUGAGUGAAUUAUAUUGUAAUUAAAAGUAGGUCUGCAGUCAAUGUCCCAUGAAAAUAAUUCCGCAAGAAUUUGUAUCAUAUAUAUCAUCUUCAUAUUUUGGGCUAAUAUUGCUUUCUUGAUAAAACACAGAGAGUAAUUAGUAAAUAUUCCAUGUGUUAUUCAGUUGCUGCCUAGCUCCUCUUUCCCAUUUUGUUUCACAUUUUGAAACUUUAGCUUUGAUUCUAAACUGCUGCUUAUGCACUUCGUGUUCGUGAGGGGUUCUGUGUUGGCUCUCUCACGUACAACCUUUUGGGAAAUGGUUGGCAUCUGCAUCAUAGCAUCAGCCCCCUUCAAGUACUCAUCCAAUCUAAUCUACUUACCUAUACUAAAACUCAAACAGAAUAGAGAGACAAACGAAAUGAAUAGUGCCCUGCCUCACGUCUCUAUUACGGAAUUGCCAAGACACCUGUGCGCCUUCUGUAUGACACCGAGUUGCCUCCAGGUUUCGUGGCUGCGCGAUGGUGAGAUACAGGGAGAGAGAUAUAGAGCGAAGGGACUAGAGGAAGAAGAAGAGAUUCAGCAAUAUAUAGACAGCGAUGGUGAUUGCUCAUGUAUGCUUUUUUUUUUUUUUUGGUUCUCUAAUUGGGUAUUGAUUUGGGUUUGCGAUUUCCGUUAGUGAAGUAAUUCGAUGAACAGGUAGUUGUCGCCUUCAAUACCCAAAUUUCAUUAAAAAUCUUCCAUCAAAUUUCAUUGCUGUUUUUUAAAGUUUAAAACGUUGGAAUCUAUUUCUGAAAUGGGCAUAUGAACUGAGGGCAACUGUAUCUAAUAUUGAACUCAAAUGGAGUCGAAACUUCCCACAAGGUUUACCCAGAGUUUCAGUCUCUUCGUGUUGUCCACAGAACUGGGUUUCAUUUUCGAUCUCCCCGCCACUGGAUUAACGGAAGGACUUCCUACGUUUGGUCCAUGCAUUACGUUUUUCUAUGCAAUUUCUUUAAGUUGAGAACUUUAUAUGGGGGAAGAAGAAAUAAUUCUACGAAAUGGGAUAUCAUAAACUCCCAUUGUGACUGCCUUUGAAUCCUAAGAAUAGCAGAAAUUCAGGUACAAAAAUCAGAUUACUAUUGUGCUGGUGGAAUUGUUUACAUGUGGUUUAAUUGCUUCAUGGUUUUUCUUUGUUUCCAGUGGGACCGAAGUAUGUCUGUUGAUUUUCGAAACCACGACUUUGGUUUCUGUUUUGGUAGUAGUGCACUAGUGCUCGAGGCCCUCUAUGUUGGGUAAUAUAUGUAAAGAAUUAUCCCAUUGUAUUCAGCAAAUUGUUUCCUGUUAAGAAGAAUAAGUUCUUGGUUUGUUACAUAAUUGAACGCAUUUAAUAGUUGAUCCCCCAAAUACAUUUGAUGUUGUGAAUCCAUAUAACUUUUUUACUGGUUAGAGUUUUAGUUUGGGUGAGUGGUUUUUGUGAUUGGUGUGGUGUUUUUUUUGUUUUCGUUUUUGUAUUCUAAUUUUGAGAUUUUGCUUUUGUUUUUCUUGUUGAUUAUAAUUGCUUCUUCAGAAUCCCUAAAUUCUAACAAGUCUGAUUCUUUCUCUCUCUGAUUUGUUGAUACAAUAUAUAAACGACAACACUCAAUUCGUUGUGAAAAAACCCAAGCGCCAUUUCUCUCAAUCUUCUCUUCCUCAACUUUUGGACCCAGUUGAGGUAAAGCCCUGUUCUUUGUUUUCUGUAAAUUGAGACACCUAAGGCCUAAGAUUUAGACCCUUUUUCUAUAGUUUGUUGAAAGUUUGAAUCAAAAAUCAAAAUUGGAACUUUGAGAUUGGUGUCCUUGGUGGACCUGGAAUUGGCGAAAAAUGGUUUUGAUUAUGCCCGGAAAAGGAAGAAGUGGCUGUUUGUAAUGGCUGCCUUGGGCUUCUCUGGUUAUGAUGCUUAUAGGGUUUAUCACUUGCCUUCUGUAUGUCAAAAAAGAAAGAGGCUUUUGAAGCUUUUAGGAGCUUUAGUUUUUGUAGCUGAAGUAGUUUCAGACUUUGUUGAGUCGAUUGAAGUUGUGUCUAAAGAUUUGAAGGAGUUUCUGCAAUUUGAUUCUGAUGAAAUUCCGAAUAGCUUGAAGCAAGUUUCGAAAAUUGCUAGGUCGGAUGAGUUUUUGGGGUCUGUUGUUAAGGUCACACAAGCUGUAACAUUGGGAGUUUUAAGGGGUUAUGUCUAUAGUGGUGUUGAACUGUAGAGAAUUAAUUUCUUUAAAGAAUCCCUAAAGGAUGUUAGAAAUUAAUUUCAAUUUGGUAUCUUUUCCAGUUCAUGAUAUGGCAUAAAACAACAAAUCAAAGAUUAUAUGCAAAUAACAGAAACUAAUCAUUAUGACAACUUCAUUGUUACAUAAACUUUUUUGACCAUUGGAGAGACUUCUGUUUCGAUCUUGAAGAUUAAGGCAUAGUUUAGCCAAUAGAAACCGUUUCAAUGCAAAUUUCGGCUCUUUUUUCUUCAUUCUCAGUUUUUUCAAUUUCAUUAUGGCUACCAUGCAUUUGCUACUAGAAAAGAAAAAGAACUAAUAGAAGUCCUGCAUGAAUGUUUUUAUCUAAAGCUAUUCUUAGUUUGAAGUAUUCAUGGUUAUUUUUCAUAUCAUUUCAAUGAUUAGUCUGGAUGAUUUCUAUGUUUCUACAACUUCAUGCAUGCUUUCAUGGAUAAAUUACUCAUUAUUAUUCUUUACUGGAAACUUUAAUUUUGUUGCAUAGUUUGCUCGGGCUGAGAGAGUCUGCUGUUUUGUUGCAUUGUCGCAAAGAUGACCUGCAUCUGGUGGAGUCAGUUCUGGAAGCAGCAGCACAGGAAUAUGCUGGAAAAAGAAAUGUUCAUGCACCAGAGAUCAUAGUUGACCACAAUAUCUAUCUUCCACUUGCUCCCACCCAUCCUAAUCCCUAUGAUAAUUCUGAGUUUGUUUCUUGGUCCGCCUUAAUUUUGUACGAGUUGUGGGCCUUCUAGCAGCAAAUAUAGUAGAAUUAGGACUGUUAUGAGUUCAUUGAGUUGGCGAGUUGCAACUAGCACUUCUCUUUGUUUCCAAUUAUCUUGCAUUUAGGCCAGGAUUUAAUUUGGCUUGCUAAUAUCUAGCUUCUCAAACAAUUCCUGUUCUAAUUGAAAGAACAUAAAUGACAGAAGUCGCUGAUGAUUAUUUCUGAUUUUUCAGUUCUGGAGGUGUAGUCUUGGCUUCUUGAGAUGGAAAAAUUUUGUGUGAGAACACUCUCAAUGCACGGUGCCACGGUUGGAUGUUGUAUUCCGUAAAAUAACUUACUCAGUGGACAAGGAUAGCAAAGACAAUACAAAAUUGCAUCAAGUGCAUGCCAAGCAAGAUUGAAAACUGAAUGAUCGUCUUUACUCUUUAGAACAGCGUCAGUAGAAGAUAAACGAAGCCAGGCACAUAGUUUUGCUUCCUACAUGGGAAUGCUCUGUGGUACACAACAACCAUAUUUUGAUAAGACGAUGGCUUAUAAUCCCUUAUAUGAAGUGAUCUUCUGUAAUGAAAUGAAAUCCACCGUUUUUUGAUAAUAUAAAUGGUUUGUAUAAUGGCUUCAUACAAAA